RNAcentral lists this transfer RNA (66 nucleotides) under Anatoecus icterodes. RNAcentral describes it as "tRNA-Ser". The record is from RNAcentral. Lineage: Eukaryota; Metazoa; Arthropoda; Insecta; Psocodea; Philopteridae.
AGAAUAUGAAGAUCUAAUUUUGAUUUCUAAUCGAAAGUUAAAAUGGUUUAAUUCCAUUUAUAUUCU